Non-coding RNA from Paramuricea clavata, 511 nucleotides. The record is from the annotation of a GenBank genome assembly. NCBI's taxonomy places the organism in Eukaryota, Metazoa, Cnidaria, Anthozoa, Malacalcyonacea, Plexauridae.
AGAAAAAAUCAGUGUUGAGUCAAUAGCCACAAAAACUUAGAAUUAAUAGAAAUGUCAUGCAGAAAUGUCAGUUAAAAACCCACUAAAAAUCGGGUGAACAUGCAUCACCAUUCAUUGGGUGAGCUAGAGAUUUUGUCAAAAAUUGGAUGAUACCCCACAAAAUCGAGCAGUUGGCAGGUUUGUUAGCGGCAUAGUGCGGCCGGAUCACGUUGUGUUCAAGCUGUUUUUUGUAUAUGUAUGCAGUCAACGUUUGAAGCGAAUUCAGGAAAUUAGGGUCUAUAACGGUACUAAUUGUUUAAAUGGCAACAUGAUAUAUAUAUCUUGCUUGUGAUGUUACUCUGAGUGUAUAUCCACACCGGGCAGGCUUGCAAAAUAUGCCUGGCCACGGUGGGAAUCGAACCUACAACCUUUGGAAUACUAGCCCAAUGCUCUGCCAACUGAGCUACGCGGUCAGGUCGGUUCAAGUAUGUUAUAUUUCGGAACUGCAUGAUUCUAGUUCCUUCGAUAUCGA